CUCCAUUCCCCUCCAAUAUGGAGAGAAACUAAUUUCACUCCAUUCCCCUCCAAUCUAAAGAGAAAUCUUUUGGGUCAAAUGCAAGAAGUUGUGAAAUGCAUUUUCUCCUCUUUUCUCUCCCUUUCUCCUCUUUUCUCUCUUCAAUGUAAUGUCCAAACAAGGAAAUUUAAGGAAAUCAAAUUUCAUUUCUUUUUUCUUCUCUCCCUUUGCCUCAAUCCAAACAAAAGGUAAGUUACUGUUUGCUAAGCAUCAUAGUUAUUAAAGGCGCCUUUGUUUCAGGCACAAGGUUCUAGAAAGACAUGUUUUCUUUAUUUCUAUCUUAAGUCAGCACUUUCAUCGACAAAAAUGACAACCAUUUAAACUCAAACCAGCAAACUCAAUUCAAGAUAUAUGCCAAAGAA
This 401-nucleotide unclassified non-coding RNA is filed under the name Hevea brasiliensis (rubber tree). The record is from RNAcentral. Lineage: Eukaryota; Viridiplantae; Streptophyta; Magnoliopsida; Malpighiales; Euphorbiaceae.